ACUCAAUAGAUACGGUAGUCCACGCCCUAAACGAUGCAUAUUUGGUGUGGGUCAUUCAGUUGAUCCGUGCCGGAGCUAACGCGUUAAAUAUGCCGCCUGGGGAGUACAGUCGCAAGGCUGAAACUCAAAGGAAUUGACGGGGGCCCGCACAAGCGGUGGAGCAUGUGGUUCAAUUCGACGCAACGCGAAGAACCUUACCUGGGCUCGAACGGCUGGUCAACGGCGGUGGAAACAUCGUUACCCCGCAAGGGGGUCCAGUCGAGGUGCUGCAUGGCUGUCGUCAGCUCGUGCCGUGAGAUGUUGGGUUAAGUCCCGCAACGAGCGCAACCCCUGUCCUGUGUUGCCAUCAUUCAGUUGGGAACUCGCAGGAGACCGCCAGCGAUAAGUUGGAGGAAGGUGGGGAUGACGUCAAGUCCUCAUGGCCUUUAUGUCCAGGGCUACACACGUGCUACAAUGGACGGUACAAACCGCAGCAAACCCGCGAGGGGAGCCAAUCGGAAAAAACCCGUUCUCAGUUCGGAUUGCAGGCUGCAAC
Molecule: ribosomal RNA, 535 nt
Filed under: uncultured bacterium
Lineage: Bacteria
Description: bacterial SSU rRNA
Rfam family: Bacterial small subunit ribosomal RNA
Source: RNAcentral